GGCUGAUUCUAGCUUGUUCUGUGUCAGUUCUGAACUGAUGUUGCUCCUCUGAAUCUUGAGUGUGUGAAGGCUUGUCUCCAAAUGACCAAAUGUAAAACUUGACAUUGCCUUAUGGAUAUAUGAAACAAUGAAACUGCAUUGCCUCAACUGCAGGGCAGGUGUGCUGAGCGGCACACCCUCUGCCACGCAGACGGGGGGACAAACCAGAGCACAACGCGGCUUCUCUCCUGGAAACCCAAGGAAACCAACAGCUAAGGAGACGUUGUGGUCCCCUGCUGCCUCCUGCAACCAGGACAUGCUUCGGGGUACACAGCUUGUAGGACUUUGAAGCUGAACCUAGUGAUUCACAGUAAAUAUGCAGCGCCCCGAGCGACCCAGAAAAUGGACAUACUUUUGCGGGCAGGUUCACUCUGAAACGGCAAGGAAAAAGAAAUCCUUCCCAAGCCUAUUUUCACCUGCAGCACAGGGCGAGGAGCGAGCAGUCUGGAUUUGGCUCAGGAGGACGUGCUGCAGCCGUCAGUGACCACGAGGCCCAAAGCCCCCUGAGCCUCGCUCUUCGGGCUCUGAGUAAUACUCAGCAAACCGCAGCAGCCUCCCAGCAGCCCAGCAGAACGGCGUGCUUAUCAGAAUCGUGUAAUGUAAUUACUCAGCGGUUGGAAACCACUUUCAGACUGGUAGAAAAGAGAUGCCUUGUUACUGCAGAGUUAUGUUAAGCAACACCACCACCACCACCGAUCAAUAAAAAUCACCAAAUAAUUAAGGAUCUUCA
Molecule: long non-coding RNA, 769 nt
Filed under: Calidris pygmaea (Spoon-billed sandpiper)
Lineage: Eukaryota; Metazoa; Chordata; Aves; Charadriiformes; Scolopacidae
Description: lncRNA (ENSCPGG00000003336.1)
Source: RNAcentral